AAACAUUAAUCGAUUUACCUCAAGAGCAUUCGCACACUCGCAAAUCUACAAAAUACCGGUUUUUGGCAUUUCGGAUUUUCGACUUUUGCCGAUCUAGACUAAGAAAGAGGGUGUUAGUUACACACCUGUUUGCGACGAUAUGCUGACGAGAUCCACACACGAACCGCCUACAAUUGGAUUACUAACACGUUAAUCUAACUAUUCAAAUACAAACUACGUAUUAACCCCUUACAAUAUUCGGCCAACCACACCUACAGAUCAUAGUAAGCUUAUAAGAAAUCAAUAAGCAACUCAUUAACAAAUUUUUGUCAAUGUUUACCACAUAAUCAUAAUUUCACUGCAAGCUGUCUUCCUGAGCAACAGUCACUAAAUUAUUUAUAACUGGAGCUACGAAACUCCAAAUCAAGUUCCGUUAAUUUUCCCUGAAAAUAGACUCAUAUAUACUCUAUCCAUAAAAUUUUCAGAAUUUUUGGUUUAGCCAAUCAAUACCAGAUUUUUCUCAAAGUUUCCCAUGUUUCACUGUUUGACUAAUCUGACCACUCUUCAUUACGAAUCAAAUUUCUCAUUGUACAGAAUUCAAAAUAUGUUCUUGUUUAUUUCAUUAGAAACUAGACUCAAUAAUAUUUAAUUACAUAAUUUAUUUAGCUUCUAAUUCAUCUCCCACAAUUUAUGGUGAUUUUCCAAAGUCACGUUACUGCUGCUGUCCCAAGCAGAUUUAUUACCAAAUCACUCUUUCACACAUACCUUGCAUGCAUGUUAUUUAAACAUGUAUAUCACCAAUCAAUCAUCACAUAUUUAUGAUUUUACUUAAGAAUAAUCUCUAUUUCAUCAUUUUAAAGCACAACAUGUUAGCUGAUUUUUCCCUUUAACAUCUAAGGCACAUGCAUGCUCAUUUGUUUGGCUCAACUUCACCUAUCUUCCGUUUUUUUCAUCAAAAGAACAUGAAACAACAACCAUUUCCUUCAUUUUAAUUCAUGACUAAAUGCUCACAACACAACUAAAAACCAAAAUAUGCUUCAAGAGUUAAGGUAGAAUCAAGAAGAACUCAUGAACAUCAAGAUAGAAGCAAGGUACCAAGAACUUACCUUCAAUUUUCCUCCUCCUAAUGACCGAAUACUCAAGAGCUUUCUCCUCUCCUUUCUCUUCUCUAACUUUCAGCUGUGAUGAACAAAGAUGGACAAAAUUUUGUUCUUUUCACCCCUUUUUCUUUUAAUAAAAC
Molecule: long non-coding RNA, 1219 nt
Filed under: Gossypium barbadense (sea-island cotton)
Lineage: Eukaryota; Viridiplantae; Streptophyta; Magnoliopsida; Malvales; Malvaceae
Description: long non-coding RNA (GBAR_LNC003009)
Source: RNAcentral